AGGGAAGAAAACAUCACAGUGUGGACUCCUCAGUUAAAGGAACGGAGUUUGUCACGGAGUAAUCAAAUAAAGAGGGAAAAAAAGCACUCCUGAAGGCAAAAAUCGACUCAGCUUUCCAGCCACUACGGAGAUAAAUGAUGGACUGAUAAGGCCCGGAUCUAGACUGCUCAGGUUGGGGGAGCAAUUACAAAUUUUGGAUGGGCAGUAUCUUACAAUGCCGUAACGUCGUGUGACCCGAGAAAUAGGCUCCGCAGAAGAAUAUCUGAUGGGACGAAUGAAAUAAACGUGACUGGCAGAUUCAGAUGGCGCAGGCUGAAAUUGACCGAUUAGCUUUGACUUUUUUGGCCCUGGUCCAGACCAUGAUUGCCAGUAGGAGAAUACCACAUGCCGCGUGUGUGAUUGGCAGCACCGUAAGUCUGAAGCUGUUUUGCUCAUGCCACACAAAACCCUCCAUGACUGACCCCAGGCCAGGAGCAUCGUGUUCCUGCUCCCUGCAAAGGGCCUGCAAACGAGGUCGUCCGAAAUUCAUUACAGUUGUCUUCCUGGCUCCAAUUAUGCUCUGUGAAAUAAUAAUAAUAAUCUGAGCAGAGUGGAGAUACGGAACAAUAUCCGUCUUUUUCGAUUUCCCUGAGCCGCAGCAGCUCAAAUCUAUUAUUCAAAACAACACCUAAGUGUUUUCAUAAAACGCUCAUUCUUCUCACCUCCCGCUUAUGUUCAGAAACACAGCCUCACCCGCCGCACCGACCGAGCAACGGAAACAUAUCUCACCUCCACUGGCAUUACCCUUAAGUAUCUGGUGACAGCAGUCUCCAGGGCUUGGUUUUUGGACCAAUAGCUGAGCUGCUUAUUGAGGGCCACCUCAGCCUUGCUAACAUGUGAAGGAGGCUGUGGGCCCAUCUGGCGGGUGAGUGCACAGGGGCAGCGGUAUACCGUGUGUGUGAUGCUGGCCGUUGGUCCCUCCCUUAGCUGCAGUUGCAGGAGGAUAAGCCCUUGUAUGUAAUCCCUGUGUUGCUGUAGAAUAGCUUAUCCUAUUUCAUUUGCCCAUGAUUGGCAGCAGAUUGCUUGUAGACCUCCUGAGAUGCAGAACUAGGAUGUGACAGAACUUAGAUGCCUCGGUGCCGAUGCUCCAAGUCAAGGUUGUCCUGUUUGCCAUGAUUGGCGUGGGAGAGAAUAUUUUCUCAAAGUAUUCACAGAGAUCCAGUGCCACAUGAAAGGUACUGACAGGAAAACAUAUAAAAGUAUAAAGAGACUCCGGACUUUUUAACCAAGGCAGAAGGAGAAGGUCACCAGAGGACGAAGACACAUUUACAGAUAUAAAGCUAAAGUUCAGAAGUUUUUCAUGUGUCAUCACCAUUGCCAGGACAUUUUGUGAUCUUAUGCACAUUGUGUAUUCUUCGCUAUGCACAAAAUAUAUCAAUGUGAUCAGAAACAAACUGUUUUCCUUUUGACUGUUAAACAUAUCAUAUGCAGCAUUCUGUGACCAAUAGGGUUUUUGUCCUGUUUGCUUUGUGGUGCAGGCAAUGCAAAGUCCAUGUGUUCUGUAUGGCAAGAGCAAUAUCAGGUCAUAAACACUGAAGGAAAUGGUUUCAGAA
Molecule: non-coding RNA, 1592 nt
Organism: Paramormyrops kingsleyae
Lineage: Eukaryota; Metazoa; Chordata; Actinopteri; Osteoglossiformes; Mormyridae
Source: RefSeq, a predicted model, not a curated record